UACGUAGGUGGCAAGCGUUGUCCGGAUUUACUGGGCGUAAAGAGCGCGCAGGCGGUCGUACAAGUCGCGUGUGAAAGCCCCCGGCUCAACUGGGGAGGGUCACGCGAUACUGUUCGACUCGAAGGCAGGAGAGGGAAGCGGAAUUCCCGGUGUAGUGGUGAAAUGCGUAGAUAUCGGGAGGAACACCUGUGGCGAAAGCGGCUCACUGGACCGCAACUGACGCUGAGGCGCGAAAGCUAGGGGAGCAAACAGG
RNAcentral lists this ribosomal RNA (253 nucleotides) under uncultured bacterium. RNAcentral's name for it is "partial 16S ribosomal RNA". It matches the Rfam family "Bacterial small subunit ribosomal RNA", at positions 524 to 776 of the family's 1533-position model. The record is from RNAcentral.